Molecule: long non-coding RNA, 457 nt
Filed under: Pan troglodytes (chimpanzee)
Lineage: Eukaryota; Metazoa; Chordata; Mammalia; Primates; Hominidae
Description: long non-coding RNA NONPTRT004605
Source: RNAcentral
UCUAUCCAAACUAUAUCACCUCUCUUGAUAGUUUUUUCUUGUAUCUUUUGCUUUUUCUUCUCUACUGGAUUUUUCUGAGCACAACUUAAACAUUCUUCACAUUCCCACCUUAAAAUAACCACUUGACCCUACUAGCUACAGCUCCCUCUCUCUCCACUACCUUAAACAAGCCUUUUUGAAGGGUUGUCUGUUCUUGCCUUCUUGCCAUGUAAGAUGUGCCUUUGCUUCUCUUUUGCUUGUCGCCACGAUUCUAAGUUUCCUGAGGCCUCCCCAACCAUGUGGAACUGUGAGUCAAUUAAACCUUGCUCCUUUCAAAAUUACCCAGUCUUGGGUAUUUCCUUAUAGCUGUGUGAGAAUGGACUAAAAUACUCAUCAAUAAAUCCAGUGGACACUUACAGCUCUGUCUUUAGUGACUCUCACUGUUUCCUUACUCUCCCCAAAGCUUGGCUUCUCGAUU